This 86-nucleotide microRNA precursor is filed under the name Anas platyrhynchos (mallard). RNAcentral describes it as "mir-7 microRNA precursor family". It matches the Rfam family "mir-7 microRNA precursor family". Rfam says of the family: This family represents the microRNA (miRNA) precursor mir-7. The record is from Rfam by way of RNAcentral. Lineage: Eukaryota; Metazoa; Chordata; Aves; Anseriformes; Anatidae.
GGCUGGCACCCUGUGGAAGACUAGUGAUUUUGUUGUUGUAUGGCUCAUCCCACAACAAGUCACAGUCUGCCCUAGGGCGCACGGCC